Long non-coding RNA from Pseudoliparis swirei, 1534 nucleotides. RefSeq lists it as uncharacterized. The transcript has 5 exons. Lineage: Eukaryota; Metazoa; Chordata; Actinopteri; Perciformes; Liparidae. The record is from RefSeq and is a predicted model, not a curated record.
UGUUUCUUCUUCCCUAACCCCAUAACUAUUGAUGCACAAUGUAAGACGCUAUUAGUGGUAAAAUUAAUGAUUAUUUUCUAGAUUUAAUAGUUAUAUUUUUAAGUGGGGGGGAUCAGUGUUUCCUAAAGCCUAAAAGUACAUCCUCAAAAGUUAUUUUACUCCCAACCUAAAUAUAUUCAGUGUACUGUGAUAUGAAUGCUAAAAUUAAGAAAAGUAACCUUUUGGGAUCUUUUUUAAAAGGCUAAUAAAUGUAUCAAAUUGGUUGGGGAUCAAUUUAAUCUUCAAGCAUUUUAUUUCACUUGUGUUUUUUUAUUAAAGCCUUUAUUUUAAAGGUAAUAAUACAAAUUCAACAAGUAUUGGUGAGUAAUAAACUAAUGUUCCAUAUCUAAUUACCUUUAUGAUUCUAGCAUUUGCAAAGUUUGGUGUCCCAGCCAUAACCGAAGGGGUGAAAGUUGUUGACGGUACGGGAACUGAGUUGGAUGACUAUGUGUUUGAGGACGUAGUGAAGGAUCCAUCAACUGGGGUGCUAACCAUCAAAUAUGACACAGAAUCUGUCUCCGGUGCAACGUCUUGGGAGCAGUCCCAACCAUCAGCCCUGGUUUCCUCAGACUCGCAGGAUACAAUGAUCCUUUCUGAAAGCCCUUCUGGAAGACGCCAGAGGCUGGAUACAGAGGCUAAGCAGGUGAGAGUUGACGCACAAACGGCAAUAAAUUUGUUGUGACACAUUGAAAUCUGUUCCUGAUUAAUAUUGCAUAAUUGAGAUUUUACAUUACAUGGUGACAUUGUUGAAGUUGUUUAUUUAUUUCCAGCAUUUAAAGCUGUGGAAUUGUGGCUUCAAAGCAUCUGGAAACUCAAAUCCACAAGAGCCUUCUAAUCAUAUCAUUUAGGGUCUCUUGUACAUAAGAUGGCAUCUCAAAGUAUAACAAAAUAGUGUUAUCAAAAAACUAAUUUUAAAUAAUGAAUGCUUACUAAUGUACAGAAUGGAAUGUACAGAAGUCCCUAAUUUUUCUUUUUGUGGAUUUGGUUCUCCUAGUGACUUCAAGUCAACUAUGAAUUUUAAUGGAUAUACUCCUAACAGUUUUUCUUUGUGUUUAAGUUGGUGGAAUCCAUUCUUACCAAGAAAUCUGGUGGGGAACUGAUAAUAAAUGAAUACAACCGAACCAUGUCCUUGAUGGAUGAAAGCAGAAGUAAAAUGUACAUCACCACCCAGAGAGUUGAAGGAAAUGUAUGCCAAAGGUAUCGUGGCCUUACCUCAGUGACCCUUAUUCCAAGAAUGGCUAUGCGAAGCCAAGGACCUAUGCUCCUCUGUCGGUGCUCUGGCUGCCAGGACCAUCGAGUUUAAAGAAGUGGCCAUGCUGCCGGCAUCAGACCCCACUGUGGCCACAGGGAGAGCCACGGAGUUCAAACAACAGCUCCAGCACCUCGCCAACCAGGUGAGGUCAAAUGAGCAAUUUGGUCUCCUAACGCAGACCUUGGGGCCUGGAAUGGUAGAGGUGGUGGUGGAUGUUUUUAAAAAGUGUGUUGACACACACAU